CGUUCGCACCUUCAGAAUCGAAAUAAUCCGACUGACCCGACCCGGACCCAGUCGAUCCGACCCGACUUUUCCGGCGAACUGCGGCGGUCUCCGGCGACGAAACUUUCCAGAUAGGAUCGUCUCCUCCGUCUGGUCGUCCCUCUGGUGUCCUCUAGCGCCGAUUCUCCUCCACGGCGGCGCUGCAAGGCGAUGCAGGUUGGUGUUUUCGGACCCGGUCGGAAUUCCUUGUUCCGACGUCGGCAAGGCUUCGAGUUUCCUUGGUUGGGCUCAGAGAAGCCUCGCCGAUCG
This 288-nucleotide long non-coding RNA is filed under the name Rosa chinensis. RNAcentral's name for it is "sRNA RchiOBHm_Chr6g0270611". The record is from RNAcentral. Lineage: Eukaryota; Viridiplantae; Streptophyta; Magnoliopsida; Rosales; Rosaceae.